GCCCCUUGUCUGCUUAGCUCAAUUUCUGAGGCCAACUCUUCCGCUGUGCUCAGGGGAGGGGCAUGCUCCUGACAGUUGGUCUAAUUCUCUUUGAAAAUCAUUCAAGUUGGGGGCCAUCACUACAACUUGUGGAUGCAAAGGCCACUGGUUAGCUGCAUGUGUGUGUGUGUGUGUGAGAGAGAGAGAGAGAGAGAGAGAGAGAGAGAAAGUGAUAAAAAAAGAAUACUUGGGGUGGUUUUGCUCAGUGCUUGAAAAGAGUCAAUAAGCAUGAGCACAAGAUCAUCAGAAGCUGCCUUAUACUGAGUCUGACCAUUGGUUCAUCUAACUUUGUACUGCCUACUCAGACUGGCAGCAGCUCUCCAGAGCUUUAGGCAGGACCUUUUUUCAUUAUCUAUUUCCCAGCCCUGCCUGGAGAAAUGAGGGAUUGAAUCUUGGCCAUUCUGCACCUUAUCUCACCUCAUCCCAAACCCACGAACUAUUGUCCUUAUUUAAAGACCAUCACAAUGACUAUGUUGUAGCAGAUCUCACAAGCUGUCUGAUCGAGGUGCAGCACAAACUCCUGCUCCCUAUCUCAUUUUUGACACCCGUGCUAGAAAUUGCCCACCCUUGGCCAUAGGGCAUCAAAACUUUAAUAUAUGACAUAGGAAACGCAACCCACUCAAAGCUGGCCAAAGUUAAAGACAGCUAGGCCUUAUUGAUUUCACCAUGAGAUUUACCUACUGUAUUUUUCGCUCUAUAGGACGCAGCAGACCACAAGAGGCACCUAGUUUUUGGAGGAGGAAAACAAGAAAAAAAAUAUUCUGAAUCUCAGAAGCCAGAACAGCAAGAGGGAUCGCUGUGCAGUGAAAGCAGCAAUCCCUCUUGCUGUUCUGGCUUCUGGGAUAGCUGCGCAGCCUUCAUUCACUCCAUAAGACGCACACACAUUUCCCCUUACUUUUUAGGAGGGAAAAAGUGAGUCUUAUAGAGCAAAAAAUACAGUAUAUGCUUCAUUCUCUCCCACUGAAAUCCAUAGGAUUGUAAAAAUGCUUAAUUUUGGCUGGAUCAAGAGAUCAACCUGCUGCAAGGGCACAAAUAGUCAGGGACCCUCACACUGGACUGCUACGUGUCAGAUUUUUCCAAGUCAAAACUGGUUUUUUACCUUCUAGGCUGCUGUCAAAGGCACAAAAGCAAGGCCAGAGGGAAAAAAGAUGUCACAAAACUUAGGUGGAGUAUGUCUCCCUAUAAAUCAACAACCACCAUGAGCUCAUUAAGGCUUUUUUGAACAGAAAUACUAUUGUCAUGAUUUUUCUUAGCUCUGACAGCAAGUACCGUCUCUGCUUCCAGCUCAGCACAGCAGCCAGCCAAAGGAGGGUGGGUAGGGGGAGUUGUUCUCACCUGUAAGACUGGGCUCAGAGUUCCUCUUUCCUUGCCAAGCCACAGGGGAUUGGAGGGUAAGUCGUAGGGUUCAAUCCAUGAUCCCCUAUUUUCCCUUCAUGGGUGGGAAACUCUGGAGUAAGCAAGGUAAGCUUUGCAUCCUAUUGCAAAUUUGGAGAGACAGCUGAAUUUCCUUCCAAACUACAAACUUCAAAAGUUUCACAUCAAGGCUCACUAAAAUGAGAGGCUAAUCUGAGGGGAUUUUCUGCAACCUGAAAGUAUUCUUGUCUUAAACUGAAAAGCCUUAUUAUUCCCUUCAGCGAAGCACUUGCAACAUGCAUGUGAGUUAAGCUUGCAAACAUUUUCUGCUAGCAGAAGCACCCAACCCUUUGCCUGUAGACAUUCAACAGGUAAUGUUGGGGUUUCAAUCUCAUCCAUGGACAUUGCAAUCCCAGAUGUGUCCUAAACAACAAAUCUGAGAAGUGAAUCCAACACAUUAAAUAGCCCAGCCUAAAAACUGAAUAGACAGGUAAGCAGCAGCUAAAAUAAGGACAGAAUUAAUUCCUAUUAAAGUCUCAGGCAAAAAGGACAGACUUAGCUAAGCAUAUAAAGGAGAGUCCUGCCAAUGUGUUUAAGGACAGCAGCUGCACAUGAGGUGGUAGAUUGGAACUGCUGCUGCUCCAUGCUGGGGUGACCUGGUGAUGAAAUCAGAGGCACUCCAGGUUUUUAUUUCAUUAUUAAACUUAUUAGUUGCUGUUUCUACAAAAAUAUAUCAGUGACUUACAACAAUAACAAGGAGGAAAGGUUGAAGGAGCUGGGUAUGUUUAGCCUGGAAAAGGGGGAGACUGAGAGGAGAUACGAUAGUCAACUUCAAAUAUCUCAAGGGCUUUGUCACAUGGAAGAGGGAACAGGCUUGUUUUCUCCUGCUCUGGGAGGUAGAACUCGAACCAAUGGCUUCAAGCUGCAAGAAAGGAGAUUCCGACUAAACAUCAGGAAGAACUUUCUGAGAGUAAGAGCUGCUUGAAAAUCUUAGGAGGUUGUGGACUCUCCUUCCUUGGAGGUUUUAAAGCCGAGAUUGGAUGGCUAUGUUAUGAAUGCUUUAGCUGAGAUUCCUGCAUUGCAGGGAGUUGGACUAGAUGACCCGUGGGGUCCCUUCUAACUCUACAAUUCUAUGAUUCUAUGAAACAAACAAACAAACAAACAAACAAACAAACAAAGGAAAAUCCAAAAGGCAAUCAUAUUUGUGGAUUGAAACAUCCCACCCGCUCAAGGAGACCACAGAUAAAAGCCAAUGGCCUAACAGAAAGGAAAUGUUUGUGCUUUGUGCCCAAAGAUGUAUUAUGAUGGCUCCAGGCCGGUUUCCUGGGGAGAGAGAGCAUUCCACAAGCAAGCAGCCACCACUGAAAAGGCCUGUUCUUGUGUUGCCACCCUCCAGACCUCCUAUGGAGGGAACACACAGAGAAAGGCCUCACGUGAUGAUCACAGGAUCCAGGUUGGUUCAGCAACCUAGAGCUCCCACAACCUCCCCCUACCCCAUCCAUGUUAGGGGCAGCCCUUCACACACCACUGCAGCUUUGGGAGUUCUAUAAUGUGGUGCCACCACAAAGAAGACCCUACCUCUAGCAGCAUGCCAAUAACCUCUGGAGGUUGGGGCACUCAAAGAAGAACCUCUGAUGAAGGUUGUAGGUUCAAAUUACAUAUUUCAGCAAACAAGUUUUUGAAAAACUCACUGCUUCUCUUUCGAAGAAACAUGCAGUUUCCUGCUUAAAAUACCACCCGCCCCCGCCCCCCCCCCCAGACUGUCAUUUGCCCUUGAGGAUGCUGUUCACAGAAAAUAAUAACAAGAGACUAAAUCAGAGGAAAUAAGCAGUCUUUUACAAACCCCAGGCCCAAACUGUUUAGGGCUUCAUAGGUCAGAACCAGCCUUUCGAAUUAGGCCAAGAAACAAGCCCAGAGCCAGUCAGAUUCCCAAAGAGUGAAGGAGGACACCUUUGAACAAUUCCAGAGAUGAGAGCUUUUUUAGCAGUGCUGUUUUUGUCAAUCUACAUGGCAACAAGGUGCCCUUGCCAAAAAUUCCCUCUUACGGGAGCCCCACGCACUGUUGUGUCUGAUCGGUUUAUUUGAAAGCAGUCCAGGAAAUUAUUUAAAAUGAAGAGAAUGGCUUUCAAACUUCUAGCAUUUUUUUAAACACAAAACAAACCCCCUGUACCAUACUGGAUCCAAAAAGAUACUGGUUUACAUUCCUUUGACCAGGCAAAAGCACAGCGUGUUGGUGUGCUUCCCCUUUGCUUGGUUAGUAAUUAGGAACAUGAGUUCCACUCUUAAACACUCCAGUUUUGCUGUUCUAACUUAUAAAGGAGACCUAAUCUCUAGCUGGCUGUACCUUUUAGCUCUGGGUCACUGGUUCGACAAGCUCUCAUUAACAGGGCACAGAUAUUAACUCUUUAGUCACUCGCUAUGAGAUUUUGCUAUGCAACCCAUUUCUGGGCAUGGGGCUGAUGCAAUCCACAGACAUUUAAUUUCUUUUGUCUUUCCUUAUUCCCAGCAGUUUAAGCUUGCUAGGAUGGCUGGCAUCUGUCUGUCUCAGGAGACAAUGGAAGAAUGUGCCUUCAGGGGUAAAGUCAAACUAUUGGAAAGUUAUGGCACCUGCUGUGGCUGCAGAGACUGAUACAAGAGAGACAUGUUUUGUUGCAGCUGGGGCAGUUGAAAGUUUCUGGUUGUACCAGUGCAGGUGUACCAUGGCAUUUCUUCUUUCUGCACUCCUCCCAGUUGUCAUAACUUCUCUGGUCACUGCUGUGGAUACGCAAGCUGACUAAUUGUCAUUUGCACUGUAGUCAUUGGCAAGAGAUUCCCGCACAGCGGUGCUGAUGUUGUCUGUCUUCACGUCACGUUUGCAGACAUUUUUGUGGCGCAGGUAUGGUGCCUGAAGCCAGCUCCUCAAAGAGCACAUCCUUGGGGAUCCUGCCAUCUUCUAUUCUGUGGACGUCAUUGAGUAUUGAUGUCAUUGAGACAGGAGUGCGAACAUGCUGGGAAUGUGGACCUGGGAGAGCACAUCUUUGUUUGAGACUCUCCACUUCCAUAAAGCAGCAUGCUCAUCAUGCAAGCCUGGUAAACCUUCAUUACUUCCAUUGCCUCAGAUGCAACUGAUAUCAGUAUCAACAUACUUUUAGGUGCAAAAUAGGGAAAUGAAAAUAAUGUAAGGUGGAAGUUAGUCCAUUAGUAAUACCACUAAAUUUGAAUGCUUGUCACUAUCCAUUGUGUUUACAAUAUAUACUUAGCAUAGUGGCUCUUCUAUAUUUCCGCGAGUGUGUUUUGUGUAAAAUGAGACUGGGAGAUUAACUACCUAAGUUACAGGAAGAUAUAAACUUCCUUUAUUUAAACGUUCAUUGCCCAGCUAGAAGGAAAUGUCAUUACCGCAGGAAUUUCAACAAGUUUCAAGAUGCAAACUGUAUUCUUAGUGGGAUUACUUGUACGGAAUUUUCCAGCCUAUCAAAGAAUUUGAGGAUUAUUGUGCAAACAACUACAUGUAGAAUCUUCAAGAAUAUAUGUCAGUCAACUCCAAAGCAGGUCUGUGUUACCUUUCCAAAGGAUAUAUUUCAGAUGUCUCCAAAUCCUUUGAGGGAAAAUUAGGGAUGGAGAAAUCUGUCAAUUGCAGUUUUGCUCUGUUACUCAUUUCCCCAAAUUUAAGUUCAGUUCAUCUGCACCUGAGUGCUGGCAUUAUAGUGUCAUUUAUCCUUUUAAUAUGCAGUUUUUGUGUGUCAGCAUUUGACAGAGACCACACCCUGGGAAAUGGCUUCGACUGGCCGGCUAAACCAGGUGAGAGCAGCUGAAGGGUUUCAAACCCUCAGUAAAUUAGGGACUUCCCCAGCAUGGGAAGACAGGCUCCAGCCAAUUGAAUGGACAAGACCAAUAGUGUGUCCAACGGUGAAGUAGGUGGUUUCUGCACGUACUGUAGAGGAACCUGGGAAGGUAGCCCAUUUAGGAGAAGGAAGACUCUGAUCCGCUGUUGACUUGCAGGAGAGAAAAAAGGCUAAGGUGUAAAUCCUACACAAAUCUGGAGUGGAAUCCCUACGAUAGUUGGAUGACGCCUUGUACCCCUCCUGCCAGUAAAUUCCUGCAGUCAAACUGCUGUCAAACAUAUUGCUGUGCUUUCUUUUGGACCACAUCAGUGAAGAAGAGUUUGGAUAUGAUAUCCCGCUUUAUCACUACCCGAAGGAGUCUCAAAGCAGUUAACAUUCUCCUUUCCCUUCCUCCCCCACAACAAACACUCUGUGAGGUGAGUGAGGCUGAGAGAUUUCAGAGAACUGUGACUAGCCCAAGGUCACCCAGCAGCUGCAUGUGGAGGAGCGGAGACGCGAACCCGGUUCACCAGAUUACGAGUCCACCGCUCUUAACCACUACACCACACUGGCUCUCUGAGGCUGAGAGGGGGGGGUCUUGCCGUCUGGGCACCAUACAUACUGUCCAGGCUUGUGCCCCAGAGAAGUCACUUUGGUGCUGAUAACACAGCAGUUAUCACCUCACCCCCGGAGGUGCACUCCAUUGUCUCUCGAGACUGACAGAUGCCAACAAUGCAUUUCACACAGGCUGAAAGGCCUAUCAAGUCAAGCUUCCUGUUCUCACAGCCAGCUGUCUAUGGGAAGCCCACAAACAGGACUUAAGGACAACACCAAUUGUGAUUCCCAGCGACUGGUAUUCAGAGGCAUACUGCCUCCAAAGUGGAAAAAUAACAUAGCCAUCAUGGCUGGAAGGCACUGACAGCCUUAUCCUCCAUGAAUUUGUGCUCAGUGCCCUGAACACUAGCAGUGAAAUUUGAUAAUAAUGAUAAAUCCUUGUUUAAGAAUAAAACUUCAGUCAGAUCAUUGUUUACAUAAAAACUUGCCGGAGAUUUCAAGGCGUAUCUGUCAGCCUGUAUUUAUCUUGCCCCACUGUGGUUUAGGGAACAUGUUUCCAAACCAAAAUGCCCUAAGCAAAAUUUGCUGACAUCUUAAUGUGCAGGAGACACAUUUAAAUUGCUUCAGAUAUGUUUUGGGGAAAACAGACUGCAGAGAGUUGUCAAAUCCUGGAAUUAGCAUGGCUACAAAGGACAUUGGAAACUGUAAAUAGGAAAAUAACCUUGAAGCCUGCUAGUUGAUGUCCCAUAGAUUUCAUUGUAUCAAUCAGUUUAGUUGAAAACUUCAGUCACUGAUUUAUUUUUAUUUAUAGAUUGAAAUGUAUUAAUUUUCCACAGGUUAAAACGGGCAGAAAACUCAUUGUGAGUCUUAUUAUUUGUCAAGAUGAAUGCAGUGGGAGAGGAGCAGAGAAACAAAACCUAGACCUGGCAGUAAUUAUGGGAUUCAAGGUGGUUAUGUUGGCUUUGAAACCCAUGUGUCAAAGUCGAGAUUUAUGGCCAAAAUGUUCAAACCUGCAAAACGGUAAAGCCAGACUUAUAAUUAGUUGUUAGCAUUGAAUAGAACUGGCAUUGUUUCAGAGUUGAUUCAAGUCAGAGAACCUUUCUUUAUACAUUAGAUUUUGGAGGAUAAGCUUCCCUCUCCUGCCCUCGUCCAUGGCACCCUUAACUAGCACUGGCAAAAGAAGAAGAAUGAAUUAGAGAGCCAAAUUGGUUUAGUGUUCUCCCAUAGCUGCAGAGCUAGAUGAUAAUUCUCUGUGUACACAAGAAAAGAGCACCAAAAGUGGCUUAUAAUAAAACAAUCAUUUUCUCUUUCUAGGUGGUAGAACAGGGCUGUGGAACCUUCUUCAGCCUGAGGGCUGAGUUACCUCACGGGCAACAAACAUUGGGCAGGAGCAGAGGCAAAAGUAGG
Molecule: non-coding RNA, 7154 nt
Organism: Podarcis lilfordi (Lilford's wall lizard)
Lineage: Eukaryota; Metazoa; Chordata; Lepidosauria; Squamata; Lacertidae
Source: the annotation of a GenBank genome assembly